RNAcentral lists this ribosomal RNA (413 nucleotides) under Salmonella enterica subsp. enterica serovar Enteritidis. RNAcentral describes it as "partial 23S ribosomal RNA". It matches the Rfam family "Bacterial large subunit ribosomal RNA", at positions 106 to 559 of the family's 2925-position model. Lineage: Bacteria; Pseudomonadati; Pseudomonadota; Gammaproteobacteria; Enterobacterales; Enterobacteriaceae. The record is from RNAcentral.
GGCGAUACCCGAAUGGGGAAACCCAGUGUGACUCGUCACACUAUCAUUAACUGAAUCCAUAGGUUAAUGAGGCGAACCGGGGGAACUGAAACAUCUAAGUACCCCGAGGAAAAGAAAUCAACCGAGAUUCCCCCAGUAGCGGCGAGCGAACGGGGAGGAGCCCAGAGCCUGAAUCAGCAUGUGUGUUAGUGGAAGCGUCUGGAAAGGCGCGCGAUACAGGGUGACAGCCCCGUACACAAAAGCGCAUGUGCUGUGAGCUCGAUGAGUAGGGCGGGACACGUGGUAUCCUGUCUGAAUAUGGGGGGACCAUCCUCCAAGGCUAAAUACUCCUGACUGACCGAUAGUGAACCAGUACCGUGAGGGAAAGGCGAAAAGAACCCCGGCGAGGGGAGUGAAAAAGAACCUGAAACCGU